Molecule: ribosomal RNA, 1155 nt
Filed under: Triticum aestivum (bread wheat)
Lineage: Eukaryota; Viridiplantae; Streptophyta; Magnoliopsida; Poales; Poaceae
Description: partial small subunit ribosomal RNA
Source: RNAcentral
AUGGUUCGUUCCGGUGCGCGUGCUUCCCAGCGUGUUCUCUCCACGUCGUUGGAUUCCUCUUCCUCGGUUGGUGUUGUUGAUGGGAGGUUUCUUGCCGAAGAUUUGGGUGCUGAUGAGGCGCGGCGACGACGCCAGGCACGGCAAGAUAUCUGUCGUGGGAAGCGUCCUGUUGAUUCAUUGUCUGUUGGAAGGAACUUUCGGCCUGUACUUGAAGAACGGAUUGAUCCUUGUCUUGUUGCUGUUAGAGCUGCAUCUGAUGUGGAAGUUUUGUAUCGUCCCUAUUUUACUGCUGGUUGGUUGUCUGGUUCCUCGCGUACAUACCUGGUCAUGUCCAGCCCACACGCCAGCACGCUCUCGCUCAGCCCAGGUAUUUCUAUUCUGAUGGACGACGAACUUUCUUCCACCAACGAUGUGGGCUUCCAUCGCCCAGACGCAGAAAAAUGUUUCAUGGGAGCGAUCCAGCUUGCAACCCGUAGUUGCGUGCCUCUCCAUCGUAAUUACAUAGUCACCCCAUGUUCUCCCUCUAAUGCUCUUCCGUCUCCGCAUGUACUUGCUGCUCUCAUCGCUAGGUUCACCAGGCACUACAAGCUAUCCUUCCAUGAUGUCACUGACAAUAGGAUUGUCAUGACCUGCACCCACCACACCACUGGAAACCGUGUCUACAAUCUCUCUAGAAGCCACUCCACUAUUAUUAUCCAAGGUGUCCGCUAUAGAUUUAUGGUAGAUGACGCACUGCUCCAUCUAGGAAGAAUCUCUACCAAUCAGUACAUUAUUAUCUCAAUGAGAAAUCUGCCACUUCAUCUGUGGAAGAGCAUCAUAGUAGAGCAAAUCCUCAGUCCAUAUUGCUCCUUAGAUUAUGUCACACAGGACUCACUCUUAAUAGAAUAUCCAUCCACUUUUACAUGCUAUGCGUGGGCCAGUCCAUCCAUCAUGGUGCCUCCAACCAUACAAGUGAACGUGUCCGACGAGGAUGCGUACACCGCAGACCAACAGAUGAUCUUCUUUAGCGCAUAUAAUGUAAAUCUGUUCAUCAGCGAGUACAGAAUCGGGGCCCACCCAGUGAAACAGCCUUACUGCCCAACCGUGCCAAUAACCAGUUCUGGAAGCAAACCAAUCCAAUGCUUUAUUUCCCAGAGGUUUAUCGAUCCCGCCUAG